This is a long non-coding RNA of Hypanus sabinus (Atlantic stingray), 5922 nucleotides long. RefSeq lists it as uncharacterized. The record is from RefSeq and is a predicted model, not a curated record. The transcript is spliced from 3 exons. Lineage: Eukaryota; Metazoa; Chordata; Chondrichthyes; Myliobatiformes; Dasyatidae.
CCUGCUGAGUUCCUCCGGCAUGUUGUGUGUUUUGCUUUGGGUAUCCAGCAUCUGCAGAAUCUCCCGUGUUUAAGGCAAUCUUUAGUUCAUUAUUGUCACAUGUAUGCUGAAAGUCUCAUCUCGUGUAAUCGUUCAUAGGGAUCAGAUCAUUUGCACAGUAGAAGGUAGGCGGCCAGAACCAGGAGACUUGAACCCAGAACCUUCUGAACUCCAGCUGACAUGGAUCACCAUCCAAGAAAUUCCCCCAGAGUCCCCUGGUGGAACGAGGAACUCUGAAUUCCGCUGGUUGAUGUGCUGAUGCCGAGGGCCAGGGGAGAGUGCAGUUAAUCGCGCAAGUAUGGAUGUCAGACUGCAGUUAUAAUUGAAUCAUAGGGAGGUCCUGAGUUUAGUGGCUUUUGCUAAAAGUGGGGGAGGAGAGGGAAAUCAAGGGAUGCUUUUGAAAGAGCAAUGCAACAGUCCGAACAAAAUCCAGCACAUUUCUGAGCCCUGAUGGAAGGGAGCUAGAGAGAGGGGGCCUCAACAACUAAUCAUUUGGCCUCUCUCCACCCACCUCCCAGAACAUAAUACAUCUUGGCCGUUGCCACGGUACCAGAGCCCUCGAUCAAUAUGUAUGUUUUCCUUUCACGUCUGGUCGCAGACAUCCUCUUCUCUCCAUGACCGGACUGAGAUUUUAAGGAAAAUGAAAGAGGGAAUUAUAUCAAGGAAUGACUUAUAUUUAAACACAAACGCUCACAUAGUAGAGCCAAGUCCUGUGGUUGGUCAAGGGUCAGUCCUGCAGCUAUUGAGAUGCUUUGGCUGAUGAACCUUGAACUUUGGCAUCUGGGGUCAAAGCCAAGACCUCUACAGAGUGUCCUUCGUCAAGAAUUAACAAGUGUGACAGCGUCCUGUCCCUUCACUAGACGCUUAAACAGUGUAAACAGGGACAUCUGGAAUGAGACCUUUCAGCUCAACAGUUAAAAAUGAUCAUGAAUCAACAGUUGUAUUCAUAAAUCUUCAGGACUAAUUAUAUUAAAGGGGGAAUCUAAGGAAGGCUCUAUGGAAACAGCACAACUUAUCAGACGUUUCAAUCAAAUCAUCAAGAUAAGUAUUUUCAGUCUGCGUCCUUUUUCUCGGAGCAUUUUUAAGUUCUGCUUGUUAUCACAAACACUUCUCAAUGGUAAAUAUUAACGAGCUCGGUCUUUUUAAUUAAAAUAAAGGGAGACUGCUAGGGCCCGCCGUAACCACUGGCAACAUAGCAGCUAAAUAAUGCACGUCCUUUCAUCGUCCAGAAGCCUCGAGCCUGGUGGCUGGAGUUAUUCAGUCCUGCUCAUUGGGGGAUGCCAAGGAGUGAGGGUGGCAAUGGGGUGCAAGGUGCCAGCCUUGCCAACUAAAGCCCCAUGCCAGUCUCAGCAGGGCUGUACAAUGGAAGUGAGCUAGCGAGAGUGUAAAAAUAAAAGGAAGAAAAGCAAGACAAGUGAAGACUUAUAAGUAAAUUUUAAGAAUUGCAUUUAUAUUAGAGUUAUAGAGUCAUACAGCACAGAAACAGGCCAUUUGGCCCAUCUGUUCUAUGGUAACUGCCUCACUGUAUUGUUUUCUUUUAACUGUCCCAAUCUAAUUUUCUUCUAGAAUAAUCUCCAUCCUCCGGUGGCCUACAGCCACCAGAAUCAGAAUCUGAAUCUGAAUCAGAUUUAAUUUCACCAGGAUAUAUUGUGAAAUGUCGAGCAAGAUAAAUAGCAAGGUAUUGUUCAUGGGCUCACGGUCCAUUCAGAAAUCAGAUGGAAAAGGGGAAGAAGCUGUUUCUGAAUCAUUGAGUGUGUGACUUCAGGUUCCUGUACCUCCUUCCUGAUGGUAGCAAUGAGAAGAGGGCAUGGGCUAGGUGAUUGGAGUUCUUAAUGAUGGAUGCCGCCUUUAUGAAGUGCUCUGACUGCCUGCAAGUUCCUUUAAGAAUCACCCACAUGGGCUUGUGCCUGGAGUCACACGCAGGCCAUUGCCCCUCAACCAUCAGGCCCUUGAACCAGAGGGGAUAAUGUUACUCACUCCAACUCUGAGCUGUUCACAGAUUCACUUCUAACAACUCACCAUCAUCUCAUUUUCUCCAUAUUUAUUGCUUAUUUAUUUAUUAUUAUUAUUUUUUCCUUUUGCAUUUGCACAGUUUGUUGUCUUUUACACACUGGUUGUCCAUCCUACACACCUUCUCAGCAUCUGCAGAUUUCCUCGUGGUUGUCCACCCUGUUGGAUAUGGUCCUUGAUUGAUUCUAUUGUGUUUCUUGGAUUUAUUGUGUAUGUCCACAAGAAAAUGAAUCUUGGGGUUUUAUAUGGUGAUAUAUAUGUACUUUGAUAAUAACUUUCACUACAGACCUGUUUGCACUAAUCCACUGUACUCAGACUUUGCAGUCAACGGUCCUCAGAAACUACCACGCACGCACACACAGAUGGCAGAAGGAACCAGUUCUGAUGACCCCCGGGUUCACAAAUCGGCAGCCGUUAAACAAGAAACCCAAAGAACCCAUUAAAAAAAAAGACUGACAGACACCCAAAAUGCCAAGAGUAAAACAAAUCAUGCAAGCAAUAAAAGCAAGAAAAUAGCACUUAGAACAAAAGUGAGUCGUCAGAUGCAGAGCCCCGAGCAGGCGGAGCAGGCCCACAGCUUCAGCCUCAGUGCAGCGAAGAGCAGGGUAAACGUCGCCAAGUUUACCGGCCCGACCUCACUUCUGGUCCCGACACCCUGCCUUUCUAAUCUGUCUGGACUGGUGCCAACAUUUUCAAAUCCAAAUGGGCCCAGCACUUAGAUCGAUGAAACCUCGUUCUCAGUAUAGGUGGACGAGCUCCAAAUUUGCCUUUCGAUCGCUCCAACUUUUCUCCACUUCACAGUGCCGAUCUCAUCUCAAAUGUGCCUUGACCUCCCCCUGACUUGCCUCGCAGCCACACACUUCAACACUUGGUGCAGCCUCGCCUUCGCUCGCCUUUUCUUUGUUUGUGGUCAAACUAUAAUUUUUCACAGAAAAAAAGUAUGUCAUUGCUGAAAUAUUUAGUUGUAUUACUUGUUCUGGGAACUUGCCCUCAGCAGCACCAUCUUAAACCGGAACCACGAUGUAUGCAUCAUGUCUUGAUGUACAGAUGAUUAUAAACUUGAAUAUUGAGUUAACCCACCAACUCCUACACUUUUGGAAUGUGGGAGGAAACUCGAGCCCCAAGAGGAAGCUGACAAUGACAGGGCAAGCAUGCAAACUCCACACAGGUGGUGUUGAACCCAGGUCACUGGGGCUUUGAGUGAGUGGCUCUACCAUUGUGCCGCCUCAUAUUCAGUCACUGUCCUCUGGAUCAAGGAACAGAUUACCCAAAAGCUGCCAAUGUGCUUUCAUUUGUCCUAUUAAACUCUGACUUUCGAUGGGGGUGGAGGGGCUUGACUCAGUUACGUGCUCAUUUCAAAGUUCAAUAUUCAAAGUAAAUUCAUUAUCACAGUCAAAGUUAAUAUAUUAUCAAAGUAUGUAUACAAUCAGUGGCCAUUCAAUUAGGUAUUUUCUGUACCUAACAAUGUGGCCACUGGGUUAUAUAUUUGUGGUCUUCUGAAGCUGUAGCCUAUCAACUUCAAGACUCAACAUGUUAUGAAUUCAGAGAUGCUCUUCUGCACACCACUGUUGUAAUGCGUGGUUAUUUGAGUUACUGACAGCUUUAACCAGACUGGCCAUUCUCCUCUGCCCUCUCUCAUUAACAAGGUGUUUUUGCCCACAGAACUGCCACUCACUGGAUGUAAUUUUGUUUUCACACCAUUCUCUGUAAACUUUACAGAUGGGUGUGUGUGAAAAUCCCAGAAAAUGGGUGCAGUUUCUGAGAUACUCAAACUACCCCAUCUGGCACCAAUAAUCAUUCCAUGGUCAAAGUCACUUCAAUCACAUUUCUUCCUCAUUCUGAUGUUUGAUCUGAACAACAACUGAACCUCUUAACCAUGUUUGCAUGCUUUUAUGCAUCGAGUUGCUGCAUCGUGAUUGGUUGAUCAGAUAUUUGCAUUAACGAUCACGUGAACAGGCGGACCUAAUGAAGUGGCUACUGAGGAUGUUAUCAUUCAUUUUCUUGCAGGUAUUAAAAGGAAAAAUAAAUAAGUACAAUAGAAUCUAUGAAAAGCUAUACACAAAGACUGACAAACAGCCAAUGUACAAAGUAAAAUAAAUGGCAAAUAAAAAAAUACUGAGAACAUGAGUAGUAAAGAGUCCUUGAAAGUGAGUCUGUAGAUGAUAGAAUCAGUUCAGAAUAAUGGUGAGUGAAGAUAUUUACACUGGUUCACGAGCCGAUGGUUGUCGGAUAACUACUCCUGAACCUGGUGGUGUACUUCCUGCCCGACGGUACUAGCGAGUAAAGAACAUGGACUAGGUGGCAGGGGGUCCCUGAUGAUGGAUGCUGCUUUCUCAUGGCAAUGCUCCGUGUAAAUGUGCUCUAUGAUAGGGAGAGCAUUACCUGUGAUGGACUGGGCUGUAGUCACCACUUUCUGUAGACCUUUCCAUUCCUGGAUAUUAGUGUUUCCAUACCAGGCCAUGAUGCAAACAAUUAGGAUAAUCUCCACUCUCCAUCCAUGGAAGUUUGUCAGUGUUUCAUGUGACAUGCCAAAUCUACGCAAACUUCGAAGAAAAUCGAGGAGUUGCUGUGCCUUCUUUGUGAUGGCACUUAUAUGCUAGUGGAAGAGUACACAGAGGAAUACCUCCUUGUAAAUUACAAUGUAAAUUAAACACAAUGCAAAUUAAACUAAAUGUCUUCUGCCACAUCCCUCCAUAUCUAUAUGUCUAUCUAACAGCCUUUAAAUGCCACUAUCAUAUCUAUAUCCUCCGCCACCGUUCCUGGUACCCUCCAAUCUCUAUAGAAAAAACUUGAUCUGCACAUCCUCUUUAAACUUUUCCCCCCAUCAUGUGUUGGAUCCGACUGCUUAAUUCUUAGAUUAGACUAUUUAAUUAUUAUUUUCUUUGCAGUUUAACAAUUAUUUGUCUGCUUGUAUUUUACAUACAUACUUACAUACAAAUAACUGCUUACUAUGCUCCCUAGUGAUAGUAGUCUGUAUAUUCAAGCUCAGUGUAUCCCCUAGUGAUUAUAUUGGUGUAAUUCUGGAAAGUUCUAGAAACUUCUCUUGGUGAUGAAUUAUUUGAAUAGGAGCUUUCUUUUUGGUUAACUCGCAAAAAUGAAUUUGAAUGGAAUUUUCAUUAUCUAUGUACAAUAAAAGAUCAGACUCUUAGUCCCUUUAAACUUUUGACUCUCCCUCUCUUCAACUAGUAGACCUCUAUCACUGUCUGUUUUCAGCUCUCUCUUUGUUCUAUUAGUGCUUAAUAAUCAUCAAGCAAUAAGCUUUGUGCCUAUUUCGUGAUUUCUGAAAGAAUCUUGGAUUAAACCAUUAGAAUCCAACACAACUUAAAUACUUGUCCUCUUGUACUUGACAUUCCUGCUCUGGGAGAAAGAUACUGACUGUCAACCUUGUGUAUGACUCCUAGAAUCUUAUGAACUAGAGGGCAAGGAGGCAUAAUUUUGAAGUGAUUGGAGGAAAGUAUAGAGGGGAUAUCAGAGGCAGUUUUUUUUUACACAGAGAUUGGUGGAUACAUGGAAUGCCCUGCAUAAGUGGAGCUAGAGGCAGAUACAUUAAGGGCAUUUAAAAGAUUUUUAGAUAGGCACAUAGAUGAAAGAAAAAUGGAGGGCUAUGUGGGAGGGAAAGGUUAGAUUGACCUUAGAGUAGGUUAAAAGGUCAGCACAGCAUCAUGGACCAAAGAGUAUGUACUGUACUAUUUCUGCUUGGGGAGAAAAAAAAGAUUCUGAUUGUCUUUAAAGAAAGAGAUUAGUUUUAUUUAUCACAUGUACAUCAAAAUGUUAAAGCAUACAACCCCCACCACCAUAACUUUAUCAUUUCCUGUCAGAGUCACCUUAUGUACAGACACUUCUGUGUGAGUGUCACUUUAUUGACAUACAUUC